RNAcentral lists this ribosomal RNA (183 nucleotides) under Acrapex syscia. RNAcentral describes it as "partial 12S ribosomal RNA". Lineage: Eukaryota; Metazoa; Arthropoda; Insecta; Lepidoptera; Noctuidae. The record is from RNAcentral.
UAAAUUUUAAAAUUAUAAUACUAAAAUAGUAAAUAAUUAUUUAUUAAAACUUAAAUAAUUUGGCGGUAUUUUAGUUUAUUUAGAGGAAUCUGUUUAAUAAUUGAUAUUCCACGAAUAAAUUUACUUAAUUUAUAAUUUUGUAUAUCGUUGUUAUAAAAAUAUUUUUUAAUAAAAUUAAUAUUU